This is an RNA transcript of Phragmites australis (common reed), 2017 nucleotides long. It is a transcript of the gene named L-2-hydroxyglutarate dehydrogenase, mitochondrial, with no coding region annotated. NCBI's taxonomy places the organism in Eukaryota, Viridiplantae, Streptophyta, Magnoliopsida, Poales, Poaceae. The transcript has 6 exons. The record is from RefSeq and is a predicted model, not a curated record.
UUUUUUUAUUUUCUCUUAUUUUUAAUAGUUUAUUUUCGAAGAGAUUCGUGAAGAUAAAUGAGAUAAUCUCGUUUUGAAGAAAAUAAUUUUGAGAAUUUCAUUCGGAAGAGAAUGAUCUUGCAAAUCCUUUCAUAAAAAAAACGUGAAAAAAAUUAUUAGAGGGCUAAAAAAUGAAAAUCCAUCCGUGAAAGAAUUUUAGUUCCUGCCAUGAGUCCGUAGAGAUGGUCUAAGCGUCUCCUCGGAAUGAUGCAACGCAGCUUACUACUCCUCCCACGCCUCUUCCUCCUCGCGCCCCGAGACCGCGCAACCCGGCAUCAGCACGAUCGAAUACGCGAGUCGGGCUCGGGCCAGGCGGUGAGGCCGGCAGGCUAACCUCCUCCACCUCGUAAUCAACCAAUCUCUCCCGGAGGAGGGACUUAGGGAGGGGUGAGGACUGAGCAGCGAGGCAUGCUCCUGCUGCGGCGCUUUGCCGGGACCGGUCGGCGGCGGGGCCUCGCGGGGCUCGCCUCUGGGGUCCCCCGGGAGACGGCGGACGCCGUGGUGGUGGGCGCCGGCGUCGUAGGCCUCGCGGUGGCGCGCGCGCUGGCGAUGGCCGGGCGCGAGGUGGUCGUGGUCGAGGUGGCCUCCAGCUUCGGCACCGGCACCAGCUCCCGCAACAGCGAGGUCAUCCACGCCGGAAUCUACUACCCUCCUCGCAGCCUCAUGGCUUGUCUUUGUGUAAGAGGAAAGGAAAUGCUCUACAAGUACUGUGCAGAACGAUGGAUCCCCCACAAACGGCUCGGUAAACUCAUCGUUGCUACUGGUCUUGCAGAGACUGCUAAGCUGGACAUGCUCCUCACGAAUGCUAAACAAAAUGGAGUUGAUGAUCUUCAGAUGAUGGAAGGUUCUCAAGCUAUGGAGAUGGAACCUGAGCUUCGAUGUCUUAAAGCUUUACUAUCACCUAGUACCGGGAUAAUUGACUCUCAUUCAUUCAUGCUCUCCCUUUUGGCUGAUGCUGAGAACUUAGGAACAACCAUAUCAUAUAACACAGCAGUUAUCGGUGGGCAUGUCGGAUAUGAAGGCCUUGAACUCCAUAUUUCUGAAAGCAAAGAGCUGCACAAACAUUCUUUAGGGUCUCAUGUGUCCCCACAGCUCACUUUGCUUCCAAAGCUUCUGAUAAACUCAGCAGGUUUGAGCGCAGUUCCACUUGCCAAAAGAUUUCAUGGUCUCAACCCAUCAUUUGUGCCCACUGCUUAUUAUGCUCGUGGAUGUUACUUCACUCUCUCUCAAACCAAGAGUCCUUUCAGCCACUUAAUAUAUCCUCUACCAGAGGAUGGUGGUAUAGGGGUCCAUGUCACGCUGGACUUGAAUGGCCUUGUUAGAUUUGGCCCAGAUGUUGAAUGGAUAGACAGUGGAAUGGACCCUGUGUCAUGUUUUCUGAAUAGGUUUGAUUACUCAGUUAACCCCACCACGUGUUCCAAAUUUUACCCUGUGAUAAGGAAGUAUUUUCCAAAUCUCAAGGAUGGGUCUUUGGAACCAGGUUAUUCUGGGAUGCGACCAAAGCUUUCAGGCCCUGGACAGCCUCCUUCAGAUUUUGUUAUUCAGGGGGAGGAUGUCCAUGGUAUUCCUGGACUGGUUAACUUAUUUGGAAUAGAAUCCCCUGGUUUGACAUCAAGCUUGGCAAUUGCAGAACAUAUCGUUUCAAGAUAUUUGUGAUGGGAUUCCCCUAACCGGCACUUCAUUGUCAGACAGUCGCUGCUUCAUAUUUGUAGCAGGAUGAAACCAAUGUGUCUGGACCAGGAUUUACCAACAAGUGAUCGAGUAAAGAGUAUUUUGAGUUGUUUUUUCGUUGGCUCUUAUUGCUAUGUAGAUGCUGUUAGGAGCUGAAAUUUGUUGGAAGUUUCAAAGAAAAAUAAACUGUGACUGGCACCGGUUCCGAUUCAAGGGGAAUGUAUGGAGAACCUUCAAGAAUUUGGCAGGGGAAUAUAUUCAAAUAUCCAAUGCAUUGUUUUUUUGGGGGGGGGGGGGUGUAAAUUCU